RNAcentral lists this ribosomal RNA (498 nucleotides) under uncultured bacterium. Its description in RNAcentral is "partial 16S ribosomal RNA". It matches the Rfam family "Bacterial small subunit ribosomal RNA", at positions 27 to 507 of the family's 1533-position model. The record is from RNAcentral.
GGAUGAACGCUGGCGGCGUGCCUAAUACAUGCAAGUCGAGCGAACAGACGAGGAGCUUGCUCCUCUGACGUUAGCGGCGGACGGGUGAGUAACACGUGGAUAACCUACCUAUAAGACUGGGAUAACUUCGGGAAACCGGAGCUAAUACCGGAUAAUAUAUUGAACCGCAUGGUUCAAUAGUGAAAGACGGUUUUGCUGUCACUUAUAGAUGGAUCCGCGCCGCAUUAGCUAGUUGGUAAGGUAACGGCUUACCAAGGCAACGAUGCGUAGCCGACCUGAGAGGGUGAUAGGCCACACUGGAACUGAGACACGGUCCAGACUCCUACGGGAGGCAGCAGUAGGGAAUCUUCCGCAAUGGGCGAAAGCCUGACGGAGCAACGCCGCGUGAGUGAUGAAGGUCUUCGGAUCGUAAAACUCUGUUAUUAGGGAAGAACAAAUGUGUAAGUAACUAUGCACGUCUUGACGGUACCUAAUCAGAAAGCCACGGCUAACUACGUG